RNAcentral lists this ribosomal RNA (613 nucleotides) under Vibrio parahaemolyticus. RNAcentral describes it as "bacterial SSU rRNA". It matches the Rfam family "Bacterial small subunit ribosomal RNA", at positions 1 to 593 of the family's 1533-position model. The record is from RNAcentral. Lineage: Bacteria; Pseudomonadati; Pseudomonadota; Gammaproteobacteria; Vibrionales; Vibrionaceae.
AAAUUGAAGAGUUUGAUCAUGGCUCAGAUUGAACGCUGGCGGCAGGCCUAACACAUGCAAGUCGAGCGGAAACGAGUUAUCUGAACCUUCGGGGAACGAUAACGGCGUCGAGCGGCGGACGGGUGAGUAAUGCCUAGGAAAUUGCCCUGAUGUGGGGGAUAACCAUUGGAAACGAUGGCUAAUACCGCAUGAUGCCUACGGGCCAAAGAGGGGGACCUUCGGGCCUCUCGCGUCAGGAUAUGCCUAGGUGGGAUUAGCUAGUUGGUGAGGUAAGGGCUCACCAAGGCGACGAUCCCUAGCUGGUCUGAGAGGAUGAUCAGCCACACUGGAACUGAGACACGGUCCAGACUCCUACGGGAGGCAGCAGUGGGGAAUAUUGCACAAUGGGCGCAAGCCUGAUGCAGCCAUGCCGCGUGUGUGAAGAAGGCCUUCGGGUUGUAAAGCACUUUCAGUCGUGAGGAAGGUGGUAGUGUUAAUAGCACUAUCAUUUGACGUUAGCGACAGAAGAAGCACCGGCUAACUCCGUGCCAGCAGCCGCGGUAAUACGGAGGGUGCGAGCGUUAAUCGGAAUUACUGGGCGUAAAGCGCAUGCAGGUGGUUUGUUAAGUCAGAU